UGCAACUCUACCUAGAAGAAUCAAAGAUGAGACAAUCAUUGCAAAAUAACGUAAACACGACCAUUGAGCAGCUAAGAGAAGUCAAUACCGAACGUCUUGUGGAGGAAACACAUCCCGAACAUGUAUUCAACGCUCCUCCUCUGAGGCCAUGCCUACCGCUAUCUUCUGCAACAAGUCCACUCAAUAGUCCUAAUAAUCAUUUCAUGCUUGAUAGUUAUCUUAGGACAAGGCAGAAUUCAACAACUUUUCCUACCUUCAACCCAUGGCCUUAAAAUGAAAGCAUAGACACUUAACUAUGACAAGGUUCCCUCUCCCAGCCUGUGCUGACUCAGCCGCCCGCCCUCUCUGCUUCUCCUGGAGCCACAGCCAGACUCACCUGCACCCUGAGCAGUGGAUUCAGUGUUGGCAGCUAUACCAUACACUGGUACCAGCAGAAGCCAGGGAGCCCUCUCCGGUACCUCCUGUACUACUACUCAGACUCAGAUAAACACCAGGGCCCCGGGGUCCCCAGCCGCUUCUCUGGAGCCAAAGACGCCUCCGCCAAUGCAGGCCUCCUGCUCAUCUCUGGGCCGCAGCCUGAGGACGAGGCCGACUACUACUGUCAGAUCAAGCACAGCGGUGCUUCUCCCUGUGACCCACACAGAUGGGGAAGUGGGACAGAAACCUCAGCCUGCUCAGGGACCAAGUCCUCGACCCUCUCCAGUUUCAAAUUACCUCAACACACUCAUUGUACUUAGAGGAGCUUCCAGGCCCCAGUGUCUGUCCUGCCAGUUUUCUCUUCAGUGUGUCUGAACUCUCAGGAAACACAAAAACAACAGUGCCGUGAUGAUACAGAAAUCUUGCCUCGUUCAGUGUUUAAAAAUUCUGAAUAAAAUGAU
Molecule: long non-coding RNA, 878 nt
Organism: Talpa occidentalis (Iberian mole)
Lineage: Eukaryota; Metazoa; Chordata; Mammalia; Eulipotyphla; Talpidae
Exons: 3
Source: RefSeq, a predicted model, not a curated record